CCCUUAGAUGUUCUGGGCCGCACGCGCGCUACACUGACGAAGUCAGCGAGCAUGUCCUACGCCGACAGGUGCGGGGAAUCUUGUCAAACUUCGUCGUGAUGGGGAUUGAUUAUUGAAAUUCUUGAUCAUCAACGAGGAAUUCCUAGUAAGCGCAAGUCAGCAGCUUGCGUUGCUUACGUCCCUGCCCUUUGUACACACCGCCCGUCGCUACUACCGAUUGAAUGGUUUAGUGAGAUCUUCGGAUUGGCGCCACUGCGGCUCAGCAAUGGGCUCGGUGGAUGCCGAAAAGUUGAUCAAACUUGAUCAUUUAGAGGAAGUAAAAGUCGUAACA
Molecule: ribosomal RNA, 331 nt
Filed under: uncultured eukaryote
Lineage: Eukaryota
Description: partial 18S ribosomal RNA
Rfam family: Eukaryotic small subunit ribosomal RNA
Source: RNAcentral